GAUGAACGCUGGCGGCGUGCCUAAUACAUGCAAGUCGAGCGAACGGACGAGAAGCUUGCUUCUCUGAUGUUAGCGGCGGACGGGUGAGUAACACGUGGAUAACCUACCUAUAAGACUGGGAUAACUUCGGGAAACCGGAGCUAAUACCGGAUAAUAUUUUGAACCGCAUGGUUCAAAAGUGAAAGACGGUCUUGCUGUCACUUAUAGAUGGAUCCGCGCUGCAUUAGCUAGUUGGUAAGGUAACGGCUUACCAAGGCAACGAUGCAUAGCCGACCUGAGAGGGUGAUCGGCCACACUGGAACUGAGACACGGUCCAGACUCCUACGGGAGGCAGCAGUAGGGAAUCUUCCGCAAUGGGCGAAAGCCUGACGGAGCAACGCCGCGUGAGUGAUGAAGGUCUUCGGAUCGUAAAACUCUGUUAUUAGGGAAGAACAUAUGUGUAAGUAACUGUGCACAUCUUGACGGUACCUAAUCAGAAAGCCACGGCUAACUACGUGCCAGCAGCCGCGGUAAUACGUAGGUGGCAAGCGUUAUCCGGAAUUAUUGGGCGUAAAGCGCGCGUAGGCGGUUUUUUAAGUCUGAUGUGAAAGCCCACGGCUCGACCGUGGAGGGUCAUUGGAAACUGGAAAACUUGAGUGCAGAAGAGGAAAGUGGAAUUCCAUGUGUAGCGGUGAAAUGCGCAGAGAUAUGGAGGAACACCAGUGGCGAAGGCGACUUUCUGGCCUGUAACUGACGCUGAUGUGCGAAAGCGUGGGGAUCAAACAGGAUUAGAUACCCUGGUAGUCCACGCCGUAAACGAUGAGUGCUAAGUGUUAGGGGGUUUCCGCCCCUUAGUGCUGCAGCUAACGCAUUAAGCACUCCGCCUGGGGAGUACGACCGCAAGGUUGAAACUCAAAGGAAUUGACGGGGACCCGCACAAGCGGUGGAGCAUGUGGUUUAAUUCGAAGCAACGCGAAGAACCUUACCAAAUCUUGACAUCCUUUGACAACUCUAGAGAUAGAGCCUUCCCCUUCGGGGGACAAAGUGACAGGUGGUGCAUGGUUGUCGUCAGCUCGUGUCGUGAGAUGUUGGGUUAAGUCCCGCAACGAGCGCAACCCUUAAGCUUAGUUGCCAUCAUUAAGUUGGGCACUCUAAGUUGACUGCCGGUGACAAACCGGAGGAAGGUGGGGAUGACGUCAAAUCAUCAUGCCCCUUAUGAUUUGGGCUACACACGUGCUACAAUGGACAAUACAAAGGGCAGCGAAACCGCGAGGUCAAGCAAAUCCCAUAAAGUUGUUCUCAGUUCGGAUUGUAGUCUGCAACUCGACUACAUGAAGCUGGAAUCGCUAGUAAUCGUAGAUCAGCAUGCUACGGUGAAUACGUUCCCGGGUCU
RNAcentral lists this ribosomal RNA (1372 nucleotides) under uncultured bacterium. Its description in RNAcentral is "bacterial SSU rRNA". It matches the Rfam family "Bacterial small subunit ribosomal RNA", at positions 28 to 1381 of the family's 1533-position model. The record is from RNAcentral.